Molecule: ribosomal RNA, 465 nt
Filed under: uncultured bacterium
Lineage: Bacteria
Description: partial 16S ribosomal RNA
Rfam family: Bacterial small subunit ribosomal RNA
Source: RNAcentral
GACGAACGCUGGCGGCGUGCUUAACACAUGCAAGUCGAACGGAAAGGCCCUGCUUGCAGGGUACUCGAGUGGCGAACGGGCGAGUAACACGUGGGUGAUCUGCCCUGCACUUCGGGAUAAGCCUGGGAAACUGGGUCUAAUACCGGAUAGGAGCCAUUUUUAGUGUGAUGGUUGGAAAGUUUUUUCGGUGUAGGAUGAGCUCGCGGCCUAUCAGCUUGUUGGUGGGGUAAUGGCCUACCAAGGCGGCGACGGGUAGCCGGCCUGAGAGGGUGGACGGCCACAUUGGGACUGAGAUACGGCCCAGACUCCUACGGGAGGCAGCAGGGGGGAAUAUUGCACAAUGGGCGCAAGCCUGAUGCAGCGACGCCGCGGGGGGGAUGACGGCCUUCGGGUUGUAAACUCCUUUCGCUAGGGACGAAGCUUUUUGUGACGGUACCUAGAGAAGAAGCACCGGCUAACUACGUG